RNAcentral lists this ribosomal RNA (340 nucleotides) under uncultured Rhodoferax sp. RNAcentral describes it as "bacterial SSU rRNA". It matches the Rfam family "Bacterial small subunit ribosomal RNA", at positions 1040 to 1382 of the family's 1533-position model. The record is from RNAcentral. Lineage: Bacteria; Pseudomonadati; Pseudomonadota; Betaproteobacteria; Burkholderiales; Comamonadaceae.
GGUGCAUGGUUGUCGUCAGCUCGUGUCGUGAGAUGUUGGUUAAGUCCCGCAACGAGCGCAACCCUUAUUGCUAGUUACCAUCAUUGAGUUGGGGACUCUAGCGAGACUGCCAGCGAUAAGCUGGAGGAAGGUGGGGAUGACGUCAAGUCCUCAUGGCCCUUAUAGGUGGGGCUACACACGUCAUACAAUGGCUGGUACAAAGGGUUGCCAACCCGCGAGGGGGAGCCAAUCCCAUAAAGCCAGUCGUAGUCCGGAUCGUAGUCUGCAACUCGACUACGUGAAGUCGGAAUCGCUAGUAAUCGUGGAUCAGAAUGUCACGGUGAAUACGUUCCCGGGUCUU